Molecule: ribosomal RNA, 900 nt
Filed under: uncultured archaeon
Lineage: Archaea
Description: bacterial SSU rRNA
Rfam family: Archaeal small subunit ribosomal RNA
Source: RNAcentral
UUCCGGUUGAUCCUGCCGGAGGUCACUGCUAUCCGAAUUCGACUAAGGCAUGCGAGUCUUGGGUUAAACCAAGGCGGACUGCUCAGUAACACGUAGUCAAUCUGCCCUUGGGCUCGGUCUAAUCCCGGGAAACUGGGGCCGAGGACCGGAUAAGUAAGGGAUGCUGGAAUGCGCCUUUACUGAACCAAGGAUGAGACUGCGGCCUAUCAGGUUGUUGCCAGACUAAAAUCCUGGCAAGCCUUUGACGGGUACGGGCCUUGAGAGAGGAAGCCCGGAGAUGGAUUCUGAGACCCUAAUCCAGGUCCUACGGGGCGCAGCAGCUGCGAAACUUUCGCAAUGGGCGUAAGCCUGACGAAGGAAUUUGGAGUGCUUCCUCCUUUGGAGGGGGCUUUUGUCAAGUCUAAAUAGCUUGUCGAAUAAGUGGUGGGUAAUACGGGUGCCAGCCGCCGCGGUAAUACCCGAGCCACGAGUGGUGACCGCGACUAUUGGGCUUAGAGCGUUCGUAGCCGGCUCAGAAAGUCUCUGAUGAAAUCCUGCAGUCAACUGUAGGGCUUGUCAGGGAUACUACUGGGCUUGGGACCGGGAGAGGCCGAGGGUAUUCCUGGGGUAGGAGUAAAAUCCUAUAAUCCCAGGAGGACCACCUGUGGCGAAGGCGCUCGGCUAGAACGGAUCCGACGGUGAGGGACGAAAGCUAGGGGAGCAAAGCGGAUUAGAUACCCGCGUAGUCCUAGCCGUAAACGAUGCCCACUAGACAUUGGCAGCCUCACGUGGGUUGCCAGAGUCGUAGGGAAACCGUUAAGUGGGCCGCCUGGGGAGUACGGUCGCAAGGCUGAAACUUAAGGAAAUUGGCGGGGGAGCACACAAGGGUGAGGCUGCGGUUCAAUUGGACUCAACGCCGGU